This 1152-nucleotide ribosomal RNA is filed under the name human gut metagenome. RNAcentral's name for it is "bacterial LSU rRNA". It matches the Rfam family "Bacterial large subunit ribosomal RNA", at positions 833 to 2011 of the family's 2925-position model. The record is from RNAcentral.
UCGAACCCGGAGAUAGCUGGUUCUCCUCGAAAUAGCUUUAGGGCUAGCCUCAUACAAGUCUGCCGGAGGUAGAGCACUGAAUUUCCGCGGGGGCGUCAAAGCCUACCAAAGAAUAUCAAACUCCGAAUGCCGGACAGAUGGUGUAUGGGAGUCAGACUGUACGAGAUAAGUUGGACAGUCAAAAGGGAAAGAGCCCAGACCGCCGGCUAAGGUCCCAAAGUGGGUGUUAAGUGGAAAAGGAUGUGGGAUCUCUAAGACAACCAGGAUGUUGGCUCAGAAGCAGCCAUUCAUUAAAAGAGUGCGUAACAGCUCACUGGUCGAGAGGUCCUGCGCCGAAAAUGUCCGGGGCUGAAACACCACACCGAAGCCGCGGAACCCGUAAGGGUUGGUAGAGGAGCAUUCUUAGGGGAGUGAAGCAUUACCGGAAGGGGAUGUGGACCGCUAAGAAGAGAGAAUGCCGGAAUGAGUAGCGAGAGCAAGGUGAGAAUCCUUGCGGCCGAAUAUCCAAGGUUUCCAGAGUAAAGCUGAUCUGCUCUGGGUAAGUCGGGGCCUAAGGAGAGGCAGAGAUGCGUAUCCGAUGGACAGCAGGUUUAAGAUUCCUGCACCCCUUGUUAUCAGAACUGCGGGGACACGGGAAGGGAAGCAGAGCCGGGAAUGGAAAGCCCGGUGCAAGCGAAGUAGUCGCAGGGUUGGAAAAUCCGCCCUGCAUGAGACGAAGGCGUGAUGCGGAGCGAAAUGAAGUAGUGAAGCUGCGGCCCCUUCCUGUCGAGAAAAGCCGCUAUCGUGUAGCAAGGGCCCGUACCGUAAACCGACACAGGUGGAUGAGGAGAGGAUCCUAAGGCCGGCGGGAGAAGUGUUGUUAAGGAACUCGGCAAAAUGACUCCGUAACUUCGGGAGAAGGAGUGCUGCGCAAGCAGCCGCAGAGAAAUGGCCCAAGCAACUGUUUAGCAAAAACACAGGUCUAUGCGAAACCGAAAGGUGAGGUAUAUGGGCUGACGCCUGCCCGGUGCUGGAAGGUUAAGGGGAGAGGUUAGCGCAAGCGAAGCUUUGAACUUAAGCCCCAGUAAACGGCGGCCGUAACUAUAACGGUCCUAAGGUAGCGAAAUUCCUUGUCGGGUAAGUUCCGACCCGCACGAAAGGCGUAAUGAUUUG